UACAGAGGUCCCAAGCGUUGUUCGGAUUCACUCGGCGUAAAGCGUGCGUAGGCGGAUACCUAAGUCGAAUGUGAAAUCCCCGGGCUUAACCUGGGAACUGCAUCCGAUACUGGGUAUCUGGAGUAUGGUAGAGGAAAGUGGAAUUCCCGGUGUAGCGGUGAAAUGCGCAGAUAUCAGGAGGAACACCGGUGGCGAAGGCGGGUCUCUGGGCCGAUACUGACGCUGAGGAGCGAAAGCGUGGGGAGCGAACAGG
This 253-nucleotide ribosomal RNA is filed under the name uncultured bacterium. RNAcentral's name for it is "partial 16S ribosomal RNA". It matches the Rfam family "Bacterial small subunit ribosomal RNA", at positions 524 to 776 of the family's 1533-position model. The record is from RNAcentral.